AGACAAUAAUUUCUGUUGAAAUCCCCAUUCUCUCAAAGUGAGUUUGUACCACUCUCAGUCUAUGGCUGCAUGAAUCUGGCAGCUCCAGCACUGCAGUGCCCAUCAUCUAGAGAGAGCCAAUCUGGCACCAGCUACCACAAGCAAGCUGAGACCCCAGGGAGAUUUCAACACAGGAAACAAGUAAGGCCAGUUGGAGUUGGGAGAGCACCCUACCAAAGCCCAGGAUGAAGAAAAAGUGAGGUGACUUUUGGUUAAGCCAGCCUCGGCAGUACUCCAUCUCAGGACACUCAACCUCAGUGUACUACCUGCCUCGGGGAGGUGCUAGGGAGGGAACUGGAGCUUGGAGGAGUUUAAUUGUUAGAAGAUGCAUCUGGUACUGCAGCCCCCAUUGGCCUGGAACGGCAAACCGCAGCCAGUGGGAGCUGCAAUCGGCCGAACCUGUGGACACUGCAGGUAUUCCAUAGACGAAACAUGGAGGCAGUCUUGCACCUGAAGAUUCUACCAACAGUAUGUUAUGAACAAUGCAUUAUUUUCCAACAAAUGAAAAAGACACCGUUUUUGCUUCUAAUGAACAGAAACUGGCUACAACACAAGACAGAAACUCAAGGAUUUCCAAAAUAUGGAUGCAAUUGAUAGAAGAAUUCUAACAGCUCUUCAAUCUGAAUGUAGGCAACCAUUACUUUGACAUAAAAUCUGUUAUGCAAUGUACACAGAUAACGGUAAAAUUAGCAGAAUUCGUAAAUUAAUCUGAAGGAACUUUAGUCAACUGGUAAGGGGGAACUCCAAACCCAGUCUUGUGCUACAAUCACCAAAAUCUUGACAGUGUUUUGGAGCAAGGUCCCAUAGUAAACUGGAGUCUUUUAAUUUUCUGCCAGGAUGGAAGAUUCAAACAAGUACUUUCUUCAGGAACAACACUCACAAUGAACAAAUACUUGAGACAACAGAAUAUGAACAUGAGCUUAGUGUACAUGUGGCUGGUGUAAGUGACCCUAUAGCCUCAGAAGGGAAAUACCACACUAAUCGUUAUAAAUAUUUCUUGAGAAAUAUAACAAAAACUAAGCAUGAAACCACUCAUAGUAGUACUGACAUGACAUGAUCUGGCUUAGUAAUGAGUUAAAUAUGGUGCAGAAGAAGUCAGUGUAAAGACAUUUACUAUUUUUUUAAGUUUUACCUAAAUUUUGAACUCCAAUUUAGAAGGUGAAAUAUUCAAAAUUCAGAUUGGUAACUUUUUUUCCAGAUUCAGCACAUUCAGGUUAUGAAAGAUAACUUGUUUACCUACUUUUCCCCAACAAUUCCUCCUACAUCUUAUUUUAUAGAAAGUGUGCCCAGCUUAAAGUGGGAGAGUUACCCACCCAAGUGGAGAUGGAACCCAGGCUCUAACUCUUUCCCCAGCCACCCCAGCUAGCCCACCUUCAACUUACCACUAAACUCAGGUGAAAGGUUUGUGUGUGUAGACAGAAGGGGGAUUAGGGGCAACAAACAAGAGCCCAAGCUAAUUCUUCAGUGAAGAUAUACCAAGGGAUACACAGGAGGAUCUGGGUUUGCUAGGAGAACGUUAUUUGGUUCUGUUGUGUUCCUAAUUUAUCUUGCAGUGAAGUGUAAGAUUAAAUAAGACCAAAUAUGCAUGUAGGCCAUCUGUUUUAAAAUCCACUUUUCACUGAUACUUUAUUCCAACUACUAAAUAAAGAUACUUUGCUUUAAGAAGGUUGUUGCCUAUCAAUGGUGGCAAGUUCCUGAAUAGA
Non-coding RNA from Caretta caretta (loggerhead turtle), 1742 nucleotides. NCBI's taxonomy places the organism in Eukaryota, Metazoa, Chordata, Testudines, Cheloniidae. The record is from RefSeq and is a predicted model, not a curated record.